GACGAACGCUGGCGGCGUGCUUAACACAUGCAAGUCGAACGGAAAGGCCCUGCUUUUGUGGGGUGCUCGAGUGGCGAACGGGUGAGUAACACGUGAGUAACCUGCCCUUGACUUUGGGAUAACUUCAGGAAACUGGGGCUAAUACCGGAUAGGAGCUCCUGCUGCAUGGUGGGGGUUGGAAAGUUUCCGCGGUUGGGGAUGGACUCGCGGCUUAUCAGCUUGUUGGUGGGGUAGUGGCUUACCAAGGCUUUGACGGGUAGCCGGCCUGAGCGGGUGACCGGCCACAUUGGGACUGAGAUACGGCCCAGACUCCUACGGGAGGCAGCAGUGGGGAAUAUUGCACAAUGGGCGGAAGCAUGAUGCAGCAACGCCGCGUGCGGGAUGACGGCCUUCGGGUUGUAAACCGCUUUCGCCUGUGACGAAGCGUGAGUGACGGUAAUGGGUAAAGAAGCACCGGCUAACUACGUG
Molecule: ribosomal RNA, 468 nt
Filed under: uncultured bacterium
Lineage: Bacteria
Description: partial 16S ribosomal RNA
Rfam family: Bacterial small subunit ribosomal RNA
Source: RNAcentral